AACGAACGCUGGCGGCAUGCCUAACACAUGCAAGUCGAACGAGACCUUCGGGUCUAGUGGCGCACGGGUGCGUAACGCGUGGGAACCUGCCCUUAGGUUCGGAAUAACUCCCCGAAAGGGGUGCUAAUACCGGAUAAUGUCUUCGGACCAAAGAUUUAUCGCCUUUGGAUGGGCCCGCGUUGGAUUAGCUAGUUGGUAGGGUAAAAGCCUACCAAGGCGACGAUCCAUAGCUGGUCUGAGAGGAUGAUCAGCCACACUGGGACUGAGACACGGCCCAGACCCCCGCGGAGGGGGGCAGGGGGGAAGAUGGGACAAGGGGCGAAAGCCUGACCCACAAUGGCCGGGGGAGGGAUGAAGGCCUUAGGGUUUAAAACCUCUUUUCCCCGGGCUGAUAAGGACAGGCCCGGGGGAAAAAGCCCCGGCAAACCCCGU
This 432-nucleotide ribosomal RNA is filed under the name uncultured bacterium. Its description in RNAcentral is "partial 16S ribosomal RNA". It matches the Rfam family "Bacterial small subunit ribosomal RNA", at positions 29 to 506 of the family's 1533-position model. The record is from RNAcentral.